Molecule: long non-coding RNA, 114 nt
Organism: Rhagoletis pomonella (apple maggot)
Lineage: Eukaryota; Metazoa; Arthropoda; Insecta; Diptera; Tephritidae
Exons: 3
Source: RefSeq, a predicted model, not a curated record
CAUUUUUUUGUAUUUUCAGACUAUUAAUUACAAGCACAGCAUCAUCAACGGUGAUUGCAAGAACUACUGCAAUCCCUGCGGUUUUUCCUCUUGGUAAAUGCACAUAGAGGUUGU